RNAcentral lists this ribosomal RNA (305 nucleotides) under Enterococcus faecium. RNAcentral's name for it is "bacterial LSU rRNA". It matches the Rfam family "Bacterial large subunit ribosomal RNA", at positions 2623 to 2925 of the family's 2925-position model. The record is from RNAcentral. Lineage: Bacteria; Bacillati; Bacillota; Bacilli; Lactobacillales; Enterococcaceae.
GAGACAGUUCGGUCCCCAUCCGUCGCGGGCGUUGGAAAUUUGAGAGGAGCUGUCCUUAGUACGAGAGGACCGGGAUGGACUUACCGCUGGUGUACCAGUUGUUCUGCCAAGGGCAUUGCUGGGUAGCUAUGUAGGGAAGGGAUAAACGCUGAAAGCAUCUAAGUGUGAAGCCCACCUCAAGAUGAGAUUUCCCAUUUCUUUAAGAAAGUAAGAUCCCUGAGAGAUGAUCAGGUAGAUAGGUCAGGAGUGGAAGUACAGUGAUGUAUGGAGCGGACUGAUACUAAUCGAUCGAGGACUUAACCAAU